AGUCGGCAUCCUUUGUUCUUCGCAGGCUUGUAGCUUUCUGAAAUUUUUCUCCCCUUUCCUAAUUUGAGUAAAUGUUUUCAAGCAAUGGAAAAUACCUUAUCGAGCUGAAAUGCGAUAACGCCCUUGAGAUGUUAAUAAAUAUGCGGUUAUCGAAGACAGGGGUGCAUCGAGGGAGGGGGCAGGAGAGAGUUCCGUCCCUGGCCGCUGAUCGGAGGAGGCCUCCAAAGAGCUGAAGGUUUUCAAGUAUAUGUACCUAUGUAGGAAUAUAAAAAAUAAAAUUUAAAAAAAAAAAAAAAAAAAAAAAAA
Stegodyphus dumicola is the source of this 306-nucleotide long non-coding RNA. NCBI's taxonomy places the organism in Eukaryota, Metazoa, Arthropoda, Arachnida, Araneae, Eresidae. The record is from RefSeq and is a predicted model, not a curated record.